This 450-nucleotide ribosomal RNA is filed under the name Triticum aestivum (bread wheat). RNAcentral's name for it is "partial small subunit ribosomal RNA". The record is from RNAcentral. Lineage: Eukaryota; Viridiplantae; Streptophyta; Magnoliopsida; Poales; Poaceae.
AUGCUCGACCGAUCCAUCGCGAUGUCUAGCUCGGACGUCCACGCCAUAUCCACCGCUAACCACGAGGAGCAGAGCCUUGCCGCAUCCGCCCUCACCCCUGCGGCCACCGUCGCCCAGGGGAAAGGGAAGGUGCUUGCGCAACAGGCGCCUGUGCCGGUGGUUCGCAAGCGCAAGUCCAGGAGACGCCAGCAGAAGCAGAAAACUCUGCCCCCAGCGGCCACCAGAGAGGAGCUUGAAUCCCGGGAGUCCCGGGAAGGCCCCUUGAAGGUGCUUGCGCUCCCGGCGCCAGGGGCCCCACGUGCUCAUGCUGUCUCCGACGACAAGAUGGUGAGCCGUGCUAGUGCCCCCACCCCGCGUGCAAACGCUUUUUCCGACGACAAGAUGAUGGAGGGGAACGAGAUGAAGCCAGUCCAAGGGGUGCCGCCCAUGCGGGGGAGCAUUGCGGCUUAA